Molecule: ribosomal RNA, 797 nt
Filed under: uncultured bacterium
Lineage: Bacteria
Description: bacterial SSU rRNA
Rfam family: Bacterial small subunit ribosomal RNA
Source: RNAcentral
AGAGGCGAACGGGUUAGUAAUACGUAGAUACAAACCCUAGAAACAGGCAUAACUCGGAGAAAUCCGAGCUAAUACCUGAUAGUCCCGCAAGGGUAAAGGUGAAGAGCAAUCUUUUCCGUUCUAGGAUUGGUCUACGGCCUAUCAGCUAGUUGGUAAGGUAAUGGCUUACCAAGGCGAUGACGGGUAGGGGAUGUGAGAGCAUGUUCCCCAACACUGGGACUGCGAUACGGCCCAGACUCCUACGGGAGGCUGCAGUCUAGAAGAUUGGUCAAUGGGCGAAAGCCUGAACCAGCGACGCCGCGUGCUUGAAGAAACCCUUCGGGGUGUAAAAAGCUUUUGCGCGAGAAGAAGCUUCGGCUGACGUUAUCGCGCGAAUAAGGGGGUGCUAACUCUGUGCCAGCAGCAGCGGUAAUACAGAGCCCCCAAGCGUUAUCCGGAUUUAUUGGGCGUAAAGAGUCUGUAGGCGGUCUGCCAGGUUUUCUGUUAAAUCUCUAGGGCUUAACCUUAGAGCUGCAGAAAAAACCGGCGGGCUAGAGGGCGCUAGAGGCUGAUGGAACGGUCGGUGUAGGGGUGAAAUCCGUUGAUAUCGACCGGAACACCAAAAGCGAAGGCAAUCAGCUGGGGCGACCCUGACGCUGAGAGACGAAAGCGUGGGGAGAAAAAAGGAUUAGAUACCCUUGUAUUCCACGCUGUAAACGAUGGACACUGGCUAUUUGAAGUGUCGACCCUUCAAGUGGCGAAGCUAACGCGUUAAGUGUCCCGCCUGGGAAGUACGGCCGCAAGGCUAAAACUCAAAG